Molecule: ribosomal RNA, 520 nt
Filed under: Penicillium sp. Hy2
Lineage: Eukaryota; Fungi; Ascomycota; Eurotiomycetes; Eurotiales; Aspergillaceae
Description: SSU rRNA
Rfam family: Eukaryotic small subunit ribosomal RNA
Source: RNAcentral
AUAACAUGCCUUCGGGGCUCCUUGGUGAUUCAUAAUAACUUCACGAAUCGCAUGGCCUUGCGCCGGCGAUGGUUCAUUCAAAUUUCUGCCCUAUCAACUUUCGAUGGUAGGAUAGUGGCCUACCAUGGUGGCAACGGGUAACGGGGAAUUAGGGUUCGAUUCCGGAGAGGGAGCCUGAGAAACGGCUACCACAUCCAAGGAAGGCAGCAGGCGCGCAAAUUACCCAAUCCCGAUACGGGGAGGUAGUGACAAUAAAUACUGAUACAGGGCUCUUUUGGGUCUUGUAAUUGGAAUGAGAACAAUCUAAAUCCCUUAACGAGGAACAAUUGGAGGGCAAGUCUGGUGCCAGCAGCCGCGGUAAUUCCAGCUCCAAUAGCGUAUAUUAAAGUUGUUGCAGUUAAAAAGCUCGUAGUUGAACCUUGGGCCCGUCCUGCCGGUCCGCCUCACCGCGAGUACUGGUCCGGAUGGGCCUUUCUUUCUGGGGAAUCCCAUGGCCUUCACUGGCUGUGGCGGGAAACCG